CUGGCGACCGCCGCGCUCGCCGUCGCCUGUUUCAGCUUAGUGCACGUCGCACUCGCGGUCACACUUAUAUAUGCGGUACAUAAGCGGCGGGGGUGCGCGGUGCGCGCGUGGGCGCUGGUGAUGUGCGUGCUGUGCGCGGGCGCGCUGCUGUUCGUGGUGGUGUCGGCGGCCAGCUCGCGCCCGCACGCCACCGGCUCUGACAUCUUCCUCGCCUUCCUCGAAUGUGUCCUCUUCUUUGGCGCUGUGCUGUACUGCAUCCUGUGCGUGCACAGCUACUACCUGGUGCUGCGCUCCGCCGGCGACAUGCAGGCUCCCCCCAAACAUGACUACUGACUGUGACUGCCCCCCACCACUAUACUAUUCAACACAUAUAAGAUAAUUUCUAUAGUAACUUGUUCACGACCAAAGAGAUUCAAAAAAUAUAUACACGAAGCAUAGUUGACACUUCACUUGAGAUAUUUUUCACAUGAUCUACAAAAUUACAUGACAAUCAAUAUAUUUAAUUAUGUUCAUUAUAUUAGAAAUGAAUUGCCAAUAUAACUAAAUUAUACUUCAUACUUUUAAACAACUAAUGUAAUUUUAACUAGCCAUAUUAAUUUAAACACUAGACUAGAGAACUCGUCAGAAUGGCGCGCUAAUCAAUCCUCCCAAAGACAGUGACAGCUGUCAGUUAGAGAUGUGACGUUUAUGCCAAUAAACUAGUGUUGCGCCAAUUCCACAGCGCUGUACUAAUUUUCUUAACAAUACUAAUAUUUAAAAAUGCGAAAGUUUGGAUGGAUGGAUGUUUGUAAGAGUUUGUAGCCUAAACGGCUGAACGGAUUUCAAUUAAUUUUGGUAUAGAUGUAAAGGAUAAUCUGGAUGAACUCGUAGGCUACUCACUUUAGUUGUUUUUAUUCCAUGCGGACCGAGUCGUGGACGAAAGCUUGUCAUAUGUAAAUGUUUAUAUAUGAUUUAGUGACACUGUUUCGUUUAUUUAAUAACAAAAGAUAUUAUUAUAAUUUUGUAAAAUGUUUUAUAACAAGGACACGGUGGCACUAAACUUGACAACUAAUAUAAUACAUUUCAAAGAAGUUCCGGUGAAAAAAUGUUCACUAUGACUAGUCUAUAUAUUUCUUAAAUGUCUUUGUUGUCGGACCCCCCACCGUCUACCGACCCCCCGCAGUACCAACCCCCCCAAAUGUUACAAUACAGUUGCUGUAUUAACGUGUUUUUGAGCCAGUGCUUUAUUGAUGUUAACGUAAGACAAAUUUUAUUUUAAGUUGAAGUGUGAAAUGGCUUGUAAAAUCAAUGCCACAUUCUAGUACAAUUAUGUACAUGUUUUACAGGUUUUUUCGAACUUUUUGUAAUCCUUUAACGAACAAAUUAGAAUCUCCAAGGUGCUAUUGUUUUGGAUUUAAAUACCUGAUUUUAUUUAAAAAAAAAUUGACUUUUUUUAUAUUUUUUAUUGAUGACGAUAAUA
Long non-coding RNA from Papilio polytes (common Mormon), 1459 nucleotides. RefSeq lists it as uncharacterized. The record is from RefSeq and is a predicted model, not a curated record. NCBI's taxonomy places the organism in Eukaryota, Metazoa, Arthropoda, Insecta, Lepidoptera, Papilionidae. The transcript has 3 exons.